AGUGAACGCUGGCGGUAGGCCUAACACAUGCAAGUCGAACGGCAGCACAGUAAGAGCUUGCUCUUACGGGUGGCGAGUGGCGGACGGGUGAGGAAUACAUCGGAAUCUACUUUUUCGUGGGGGAUAACGUAGGGAAACUUACGCUAAUACCGCAUACUACCUACGGGUGAAAGCAGGGGAUCUUCGGACCUUGCGCGAUUGAAUGAGCCGAUGUCGGAUUAGCUAGUUGGCGGGGUAAAGGCCCACCAAGGCGACGAUCCGUAGCUUGUCUGAGAGGAUGAUCAGCCACACUGGAACUGAGAAACGGUCCAGACUCCUACGGGAGGCAGAAGUGGGGAAUAUUGGACAAUGGGGGCAAGCCUGAUCCAGCCAUACCGCGUGGGUGAAGAAGGCCUUCGGGUUGUAAAGCCCUUUUGUUGGGAAAGAAAAGCAGCAGGUUAAUACCCCGCUGUUCUGACGGUACCCAAAGAAUAAGCACCGGCUAACUUCGU
This 491-nucleotide ribosomal RNA is filed under the name uncultured bacterium. Its description in RNAcentral is "partial 16S ribosomal RNA". It matches the Rfam family "Bacterial small subunit ribosomal RNA", at positions 29 to 506 of the family's 1533-position model. The record is from RNAcentral.